Molecule: transfer RNA, 66 nt
Filed under: Heterocephalus glaber (naked mole-rat)
Lineage: Eukaryota; Metazoa; Chordata; Mammalia; Rodentia; Bathyergidae
Rfam family: tRNA
About the family: Transfer RNA (tRNA) molecules are approximately 80 nucleotides in length. Their secondary structure includes four short double-helical elements and three loops (D, anti-codon, and T loops).
Source: Rfam by way of RNAcentral
GGGAGUGUGGCUCAGUGGUAAAGCACUGGCCCGGCACGUACCUGGGUUCAAUUCCUAGCACUGCCC